RNAcentral lists this ribosomal RNA (494 nucleotides) under uncultured bacterium. Its description in RNAcentral is "partial 16S ribosomal RNA". It matches the Rfam family "Bacterial small subunit ribosomal RNA", at positions 28 to 506 of the family's 1533-position model. The record is from RNAcentral.
GAUGAACGCUGGCGGCGUGCCUAAUACAUGCAAGUAGAACGCUGAAGGAGGAGCUUGCUCUUCUGGAUGAGUUGCGAACGGGUGAGUAACGCGUAGGUAACCUGCCUGGUAGCGGGGGAUAACUAUUGGAAACGAUAGCUAAUACCGCAUGACAACAGUUAUUGCAUGAUAACUGUUUAAAAGGGGCAACUGCUCCACUACCAGAUGGACCUGCGUUGUAUUAGCUAGUUGGUGAGGUAACGGCUCACCAAGGCGACGAUACAUAGCCGACCUGGGAGGGGGACCGGCCCCCCUGGGACUGAGCACGGCCCCAGCCCCCUCCGGGGGGACCCAGAGGGGACUUUUGGGCAAUGGACGGAAGCCUACCCGGGCACCGCCGCGGGAGUGAAAAGGGUUUUGGGAUCUUAAAGCUUUGUUUUAAGGGAAAAACGGGUGGGAGGGGGGAAAGUUCCCCCUGGGACGGUUCUUUACCAGAAAGGGGCGGUUACCUCCGU